GAUGAACGCUGGCGGCGUGCCUAAUACAUGCCAGUCGAGCGAACAGACGAGGAGCUUGCUCCUCUGACGUUAGCGGCGGACGGGUGAGUAACACGUGGAUAACCUACCUAUAAGACUGGGAUAACUUCGGGAAACCGGAGCUAAUACCGGAUAAUAUCUUGAACCGCAUGGUUCAAUAGUGAAAGACGGUUUUGCUGUCACUUAUAGAUGGAUCCGCGCCGCAUUAGCUAGUUGGUAAGGUAACGGCUUACCAAGGCAACGAUGCGUAGCCGACCUGAGAGGGUGAUCGGCCACAUUGGAACUGAGACACGGACCAGACUCCUACGGGAGGCAGCAGUAGGGAAUCUUCCGCAAUGGGCGAAAGCCUGACGGAGCAACGCCGCGUGAGUGAUGAAGGUCUUCGGAUCGGAAAACUCUGUUAUUAGGGAAGAACAAAUGUGUAAGUAACUAUGCACGUCGUGACGGUACCUAAUCAGAAAGCCACGGCUAACUACGUG
Molecule: ribosomal RNA, 497 nt
Filed under: uncultured bacterium
Lineage: Bacteria
Description: partial 16S ribosomal RNA
Rfam family: Bacterial small subunit ribosomal RNA
Source: RNAcentral